RNAcentral lists this ribosomal RNA (463 nucleotides) under uncultured bacterium. RNAcentral's name for it is "partial 16S ribosomal RNA". It matches the Rfam family "Bacterial small subunit ribosomal RNA", at positions 28 to 507 of the family's 1533-position model. The record is from RNAcentral.
GACGAACGCUGGCGGCGUGCUUAACACAUGCAAGUCGAGCGGAAAGGCCACUUCGGUGGUACUCGAGCGGCGAACGGGUGAGUAACACGUGAGUAAUCUGCCCCUCACUUUGGGAUAGCCACCGGAAACGGUGAUUAAUACCGGAUAUGACCAUAUGUCGCAUGGCGUGUGGUGGAAAGUUUUUCGGUGAGGGAUGUGCUCGCGGCCUAUCAGCUUGAUGGUGAGAUAAUGGCUCACCAUGGCUUCGACGGGUAGCCGGCCUGAGAGGGUGACCGGUCACACUGGGACUGAGACACGGCCCAGACUCCUACGGGAGGCAGCAGUGGGGAAUAUUGGACAAUGGGCGGAAGCCUGAUCCAGCAACGCCGCGUGAGGGAUGACGGCCUUCGGGUUGUAAACCUCUUUCAGUACCGACGAAGCGCAAGUGACGGUAGGUACAGAAGAAGCACCGGCCAACUACGUG